This 350-nucleotide long non-coding RNA is filed under the name Brassica napus (rape). Its description in RNAcentral is "long non-coding RNA (BNAP_LNC002546)". Lineage: Eukaryota; Viridiplantae; Streptophyta; Magnoliopsida; Brassicales; Brassicaceae. The record is from RNAcentral.
AGAUUUAGAGAUCCUUAGAGUAACUAGAGUAUAAGUGAGAGUUUAAGUAGAGAUUAGAAAGAGAUUGUGAAAGAUUAAGAGACUUGAGAGCUGUUUAGUGUCUAAGAGAGAAUCAUGGUGCCUUAAGAGAUUAGAGAGAGACUCAGAACUGUCUGGCUUUAUUAAUGAGUGAGGUUACAUAUUUAUAUUGUUCUAGACAUUAGGGUUUUCGAAACACAAGAGUAGAUAAGCAUGUGAGGUCAAGGGAGGAGCCUUUGCUUUUGUUUGAACCGGCCAAUGACUGUCCUCACACGUUCGGGCAUCUUCCUGAUCCAAGUCCAAGAUGCUCUUCCUUUCCAGCCCUUGCCAGC